AUGGUAAAAUCAUGCUGAAAACAACAGUUCUCGUUCCAUCACCGAAGUUAAGCAGCGUCGGGCCCGGUAAGUACUAAAACGGGGGACCACAUUAAAAACAUCGGGUGCUGUA
Molecule: non-coding RNA, 112 nt
Organism: Acanthosepion pharaonis
Lineage: Eukaryota; Metazoa; Mollusca; Cephalopoda; Sepiida; Sepiidae
Source: the annotation of a GenBank genome assembly